Molecule: unclassified non-coding RNA, 335 nt
Filed under: soil metagenome
Description: partial contains 5.8S ribosomal RNA, internal transcribed spacer 2, and large subunit ribosomal RNA
Rfam family: 5.8S ribosomal RNA (bases 1-119)
Source: RNAcentral
GAUGAAGAACGCAGUGAAAUGCGAUAAGUAAUGCGAAUUGCAGAAUCCGUGAGUCAUCGAAUCUUUGAACGCACAUUGCGCCCCUUGGUAUUCCAUGGGGCAUGCCUGUUCGAGCGUCAUUUGUACCUUCAAGCUUUGCUUGGUGUUGGGUGUUUGUCUCGCCUUUGCGUGUAGACUCGCCUUAAAAUAAUUGGCAGCCGGCGUAUUGAUUUCGGAGCGCAGUACAUCUCGCGCUUUGCACUCAUAACGACAGCGUCCAAAAGUACAUUUUACACUCUUGACCUCGGAUCAGGUAGGGAUACCCGCUGAACUUAAGCAUAUCAAUAAGCGGAGGA